AUUGAACGCUGGCGGCAGGCCUAACACAUGCAAGUCGAGCGGAUGAAGGGAGCUUGCUCCUGGAUUCAGUGGCGGACGGGUGAGUAAUGCCUAGGAAUCUGCCUGGUAGUGGGGGAUAACGUCCGGAAACGGGCGCUAAUACCGCAUACGUCCUGAGGGAGAAAGUGGGGGAUCUUCGGACCUCACGCUAUCAGAUGAGCCUAGGUCGGAUUAGCUAGUUGGUGGGGUAAAGGCCUACCAAGGCGACGAUCCGUAACUGGUCUGAGAGGAUGAUCAGUCACACUGGAACUGAGACACGGUCCAGACUCCUACGGGAGGCAGCAGUGGGGAAUAUUGGACAAUGGGCGAAAGCCUGAUCCAGCCAUGCCGCGUGUGUGAAGAAGGUCUUCGGAUUGUAAAGCACUUUAAGUUGGGAGGAAGGGCGGUAAGUUAAUACCCUGCUGUUUUGACGUUACCAACAGAAUAAGCACCGGCUAACUUCGUG
This 484-nucleotide ribosomal RNA is filed under the name uncultured bacterium. RNAcentral describes it as "partial 16S ribosomal RNA". It matches the Rfam family "Bacterial small subunit ribosomal RNA", at positions 30 to 507 of the family's 1533-position model. The record is from RNAcentral.